CCCCGUCACACGAACAAAACCCCGGCGCGAGACGCGCCAAGGAAUAGAAAACGAAGAGAUAGGGAACGGGUGGCCCGUCGAGUGCCGGAGACGGAUCUCUCGCGGGCGACCCCUUCUCGUUCGGAAACAAAACGACUCUCGGCAACGGAUAUCUCGGCUCUCGCAUCUAUGAAGAACGUAUCGAAAUGCGAUACUUGGUGUGAAUUGCCGAAUCCCGUGAACCAUCGAGUCUUUGAACGCAAGUUGCGCCCGAAGCCUUCGGGCCGAGGGAACGCCUGCCUGGGUGUCAUGCGUCGUCGCCCCCCGACCAUCGGGACGGGCGGAGAUUGGUCUCCCGUGCGCUCCCGCUCGCGGUUGGCCGAAAUACGAGUUGUUGGCGGCCGAUAGCGCCACG
Molecule: ribosomal RNA, 394 nt
Filed under: Passiflora elegans
Lineage: Eukaryota; Viridiplantae; Streptophyta; Magnoliopsida; Malpighiales; Passifloraceae
Source: RNAcentral